Molecule: ribosomal RNA, 292 nt
Filed under: uncultured bacterium
Lineage: Bacteria
Description: partial 16S ribosomal RNA
Rfam family: Bacterial small subunit ribosomal RNA
Source: RNAcentral
GGAUUAGAUACCCUGGUAGUCCAUGCCGUAAACGUUGAGUGCUAGGUGUUAGGGGGUCCAACCCUUAGUGCUGCAGUUAACGCAAUAAGCACUCCGCCUGGGGAGUACGGCCGCAAGGCUGAAACUCAAAGGAAUUGACGGGGGCCUGCACAAGCGGUGGAGCAUGUGGUUUAAUUCGACGCAACGCGAAGAACCUUACCAGGUCUUGACAUCUUCGGACAACCCAAGAGAUUGGGUCUUCCCUUCGGGGACCGAAUGACAGGUGGUGCAUGGUUGUCGUCAGCUCGUGCCG